RNAcentral lists this transfer RNA (89 nucleotides) under Anoxybacter fermentans. RNAcentral's name for it is "tRNA-Leu". It matches the Rfam family "tRNA". Rfam says of the family: Transfer RNA (tRNA) molecules are approximately 80 nucleotides in length. Their secondary structure includes four short double-helical elements and three loops (D, anti-codon, and T loops). Lineage: Bacteria; Bacillati; Bacillota; Clostridia; Halanaerobiales. The record is from RNAcentral.
GCCGAAGUGGUGGAAUUGGCAGACGCGCCGGACUCAAAAUCCGGUCUGGGUUAAACCAGGUGUGGGUUCGAAUCCCACCUUCGGCACCA